RNAcentral lists this ribosomal RNA (253 nucleotides) under uncultured bacterium. RNAcentral describes it as "partial 16S ribosomal RNA". It matches the Rfam family "Bacterial small subunit ribosomal RNA", at positions 524 to 776 of the family's 1533-position model. The record is from RNAcentral.
UACGUAGGGUGCAAGCGUUGUCCGGAAUUAUUGGGCGUAAAGAGCUCGUAGGCGGUUCGUCGCGUCGGCUGUGAAAUCCCGAGGCUCAACCUCGGGUCUGCAGUCGAUACGGGCGGACUGGAGUUCGGCAGGGGAGACUGGAAUUCCUGGUGUAGCGGUGAAAUGCGCAGAUAUCAGGAGGAACACCGGUGGCGAAGGCGGGUCUCUGGGCCAUAACUGACGCUGAGGAGCGAAAGCAUGGGGAGCGAACAGG